Molecule: transfer RNA, 74 nt
Filed under: Myotis davidii
Lineage: Eukaryota; Metazoa; Chordata; Mammalia; Chiroptera; Vespertilionidae
Rfam family: tRNA
About the family: Transfer RNA (tRNA) molecules are approximately 80 nucleotides in length. Their secondary structure includes four short double-helical elements and three loops (D, anti-codon, and T loops).
Source: Rfam by way of RNAcentral
GCCGGUGUUGCUCAGUGGUUAAAGUGUUUGCUCUCAGACAGAAGGGAUGUGGGUUCGAUUCCCAGUCAAUGGCA